UCCCCACUACCCUUUCACCUACGGCCUCUGAGCCGGCUGGUUCUUUCUGCAGAGCUCCGGACAUUUUCGGAAUGGCCGAUGGUGGGCUUCAGGUAGAUGAGACCCCAGGUUGACAUAAAAAACAGUAUUUACCCUCCUGAAGAGAUGAGAUGGAAUAAUAGCAGGUGGGCAGUGUGGAUAUGGAGUUUUCAGACAACUUCAUGUGAAUGAGAAACCUGCCUCCAUCAGGACUUCAGAUGUCUGACACCCCUGUGACACAUUGAGUAAUGUGAGAACUCAGUGGUCCUGUGAUGCUGUGAUUACUCAAGGGCAAGAUUACAUCAGCUAAAGCCAUCCUGGUGGUUCCUUGAGAAAUGGGUAGUAAUUUAUCCUGAGGGA
Fukomys damarensis (Damara mole-rat) is the source of this 378-nucleotide long non-coding RNA. RefSeq lists it as uncharacterized. The record is from RefSeq and is a predicted model, not a curated record. NCBI's taxonomy places the organism in Eukaryota, Metazoa, Chordata, Mammalia, Rodentia, Bathyergidae. The transcript has 5 exons.